Molecule: long non-coding RNA, 203 nt
Filed under: Nicotiana benthamiana
Lineage: Eukaryota; Viridiplantae; Streptophyta; Magnoliopsida; Solanales; Solanaceae
Description: long non-coding RNA (NBEN_LNC014474)
Source: RNAcentral
AUCUAAAUCGUAUAAUCGAUUAUCUGGCAACGUUCAAAAAAUCUUUUUCAGAUUUUACUUAAAACAAUCGAUUAUAAAAAUCAUAUAAUCGAUUACUUGGCAACGUUCAAAAAAUCUUUUUCAGAUUUUACUUAAAACAAUCGAUUAUCAAAAUCAUUAAUCGAUUACUUGGCAACGUUCAAAAAAUCAUAUUCAGAUUUUAC